Molecule: ribosomal RNA, 450 nt
Filed under: uncultured Glomeromycotina
Lineage: Eukaryota; Fungi; Glomeromycota
Description: SSU rRNA
Rfam family: Eukaryotic small subunit ribosomal RNA
Source: RNAcentral
AGCAGCCGCGGUAAUUCCAGCUCCAAUAGCGUAUAUUAAAGUUGUUGCAGUUAAAAAGCUCGUAGUUGAAUUUCGGGGUUAGUAGGCUGGUCGUGCCACUGGUACGUACUGGUCUCACUGAUUCCUCCUUCCUGAUGAACCGUAAUGCCAUUAAUUUGGUGUUGCGGGGAAACUGGACUGUUACUUUGAAAAAAUUAGAGUGUUUAAAGCAAGCUAACGCUUGAAUACAUUAGCAUGGAAUAAUGAAAUAGGACGUUCGAUCCUAUUUUGUUGGUUUCUAGGAUUGACGUAAUGAUUAAUAGGGAUAGUUGGGGGCAUUAGUAUUCAAUUGUCAGAGGUGAAAUUCUUGGAUUUAUUGAAGACUAACUACUGCGAAAGCAUUUGCCAAGGAUGUUUUCAUUAAUCAAGAACGAAAGUUAGGGGAUCGAAGACGAUCAGAUACCGUCGUAG